Molecule: long non-coding RNA, 2230 nt
Organism: Alnus glutinosa
Lineage: Eukaryota; Viridiplantae; Streptophyta; Magnoliopsida; Fagales; Betulaceae
Exons: 6
Source: RefSeq, a predicted model, not a curated record
GUAGGAAUUGAGGAGCAACCCCGAAUCCAGAAUACCCACCCUACCUUCUCUUCCUCCAAACAGCGCUUACCAUUCCCUCGCAAUCAAUGUCGGGAGGAAGGAAUAGAGUAGAACUGUAGAAGCGAAGGGGGUUUCUUCGCUUAUCCAUCAGGUUUCAUAGAAUUGCGUUCCUCACUCGACAGCAUCAUCACAUCAAAAACUUCUUUUGCCUCUGCCAGCAUAUUGCCGGACGCACUUCGCAAAGAGGAGAUGCCGACCGAGGCAAAAGAAGUUUUUGGUCUGAUAGUUAUGGCCGUAACUUUGGAUUUACGUUUCAACGUCUGUUUACGCGUGCUGUUGGCUUUGGCUAUGAGUCUACGACUACGACCGCUCGUUUCCACGUUGGAUUUACGUCUCAAGAUUGCAAGAACCCAGCUGAUAUCUGAAUUUAUUGCUACAAUUGGAGCUUGCUUUGAGGAAUUCAAACCACCCAAGAAGCACCCUAACUUGUGGGUGGGCGGCUUUAGGAGCUCUGGCGCUAGUUGCUUCCUCUUUUCUGAAAAGGAAGAUGGGCUGCACUGAAGCCCAAUCUGGAUGUUUGAUUGUUGCUCUUCUCCUAGAGUUGAUGGUAAUUCGAAUCCAUAGAAUGAAAAUGAAGGACAUUAACCUUGGAAUUCUUUUAUAUUGUCCAAGAAAUUUGAAGAUGAUCAUGCCUUUAGGUGUCCACUUGUGAACGAUUCAUUGAUUCAAACAAAAAACUUUGUACCCGUCAGGGUGCAGCCUAGUGGUCGACGAGCAGUAAACUUGUACGGUUUGAUUGUGCAUUAGGAUUUCUCCUGGAUUUCUUGAUACUCGGUUCUGGCUGGUGGAGUCUUAGUUUCCGGGGUUUACUCCUCAGGAUAUCACUCCGAAGAGCCUUGCCUUGUAUCAAGUAACAGCUGCAGCCACACGAUAACAAGGAGGUGGAGAGAUGUAGCAUGUAUCAACUAUCAGCCAGUCAUGUGAAAACUAUACGUACUGGUGAUUAUUGGAACUCUUCCUGUAUAUACUCAUGAACUUGGCCACAAAUUCUGCACAAAAGAUACACAAAAUACCAGUGAACUGCCUGUAUACUGGUGAGUGCUCGGAAUAAAUUUCCUCAUGAAGCAGUUCAGAGCAAGCUUAACCCUACAUGUGAGAUGAUAAAUUUAAGCAGCCUCUAGAGAAUAAUCUCAUCCAGGGCAAGAGACUGAAAGUGUUUUGAAGGAUUCAUAAUUGAAAUGCUUCAAACUUAUCUCAAACAAAGAAACUGUCAUUUGCUGUAUAAACUUUCAAGCCAUUUAGUUAUCAGACCUCCUCUCCUUCCCUUAAAAAGAAAAACCUACCUUGCUGGUGAUGGAUCAGCUAGGAUAUCUGCAGCAAGUUCCACUAGGACCUCUUCCCAUCCAAGUGGAAUUGGUUGGUCAUCGACAAAAGGGUAGCUGCACAGUGACAGUGACAGUAUCCUCAGCCAUGAUUGCUUUUCUCAGGUUCUGCUUUGAUUUUGUAGCAAUCUUAGCAGCAAAGCUCAUGGGUAGAUCAAAGUUCUCCUUUCUUGCUAUUUGAAUAAGAACCUCCAUGAUCUGGGAAAUUGGAGGUAUGAAUGAGGAUUAAGAGAAAGUCAGAAGUAUGGAAGAUGGAAACAUUCUAAUGUACAGUGCUUAUUAUUAAACAGUUAGAAUCCAAAAUCAAUCUGAAACUUACUUCAUGAGUAACAGGAGCAUCAACCUUGAUAACUUUGCAGCGGUUUUUCACUGAUUCAAGGAUUUCUACAUCAUCUUCACAGCAGAGUAUGAGUUUACAAGCAUCUGUGUAACAGUCCAUAAUCCAUUUUAUCAAGUGCUGAAGGUUCUGCGCUGCUUUGUCAACCUCAUAGAGGACUAUCACUGAAAGCAAGAAAAAGGAACCAUGUUAGCUUCGAAAGAGCAGGUUAAACCAUCAAGAAAAGUUGUGUACGCGUUUAAAAGAUGAACCUUUGUAAUCUGGUUUGAAAUUAACAUUGCUGACUUCAGGUGUAAUUGCAUAUUUACUGCUUAUGUCCUUGACUAAUCCCAUUAAUGCAUAUCUAGCAUUUGCUUCCAACUUUACAUUGAGCUCCACAUGGUAAGUGCUGGACGUUAAUGGAACCACUACUUGCAUAUGCCUUCUUUCCUGUCAGUAUAUAACACGAGCUCCAGCAUUGAAUUUGGGAGGUAACCACUAAAACUGCUAAUUCGUUAUCGAAUUCAACAAA